UGCAGUCGAGCGAAUGGAUUAGAGCUUGCUCUUAUGAAGUUAGCGGCGGACGGGUGAGUAACACGUGGGUAACCUGCCCAUAAGACUGGGAUAACUCCGGGAAACCGGGGCUAAUACCGGAUAAUAUUUUGAACUGCAUGGUUCGAAAUUGAAAGGCGGCUUCGGCUGUCACUUAUGGAUGGACCCGCGUCGCAUUAGCUAGUUGGUGAGGUAACGGCUCACCAAGGCAACGAUGCGUAGCCGACCUGAGAGGGUGAUCGGCCACACUGGGACUGAGACACGGCCCAGACUCCUACGGGAGGCAGCAGUAGGGAAUCUUCCGCAAUGGACGAAAGUCUGACGGAGCAACGCCGCGUGAGUGAUGAAGGCUUUCGGGUCGUAAAACUCUGUUGUUAGGGAAGAACAAGUGCUAGUUGAAUAAGCUGGCACCUUGACGGUACCUAACCAGAAAGCCACGGCUAACUACGUGCCAGCAGCCGCGGUAAUACGUAGGUGGCAAGCGUUAUCCGGAAUUAUUGGGCGUAAAGCGCGCGCAGGUGGUUUCUUAAGUCUGAUGUGAAAGCCCACGGCUCAACCGUGGAGGGUCAUUGGAAACUGGGAGACUUGAGUGCAGAAGAGGAAAGUGGAAUUCCAUGUGUAGCGGUGAAAUGCGUAGAGAUAUGGAGGAACACCAGUGGCGAAAGGCGACUUUCUGGUCUGUAACUGACACUGAGGCGCGAAAGCGUGGGGAGCAACAGGAUUAGAUACCCUGGUAGUCCACGCCGUAAACGAUGAGUGCUAAGG
Molecule: ribosomal RNA, 783 nt
Filed under: Bacillus cereus
Lineage: Bacteria; Bacillati; Bacillota; Bacilli; Caryophanales; Bacillaceae
Description: bacterial SSU rRNA
Rfam family: Bacterial small subunit ribosomal RNA
Source: RNAcentral